CCCCUGGUGGAGGCGACGAGCCGCUGGAGGGGGGUUCUUUUUUUGGGGGUGGUGGUGGUGUGAGUUUGUGGAUUGUGCGGUGGCUUUUUUGUUGGUCUGUUGAGUUGACAAAAGCCAUUGUUUGUGCGGUUGUGGCGUUGUCAUUUAUCCGUUUCGUUGUGAUCGUCAUCAUCAUCGUCGUCGUCGUCGUCUUCAUAAAAUAUCAUUUCCAAUCGUCUUUGUCAUUAGUCAAACGUAACAAUAGGCGUCAGGAGGCCUUCACCCAGCAGUGGAUUGACCAUGGCUCUUGCUGCUGAUGACGAUACAUAACCCACACGUCAAUGUGUGAAUUAUAGUCACGUAACGAAUAUCACGCCAUUAUCAACGACAACAUUUAACCAUUAAUCGUCAAUAAUAAUCAAAUCUAAAUAAUUAAAAUGUAACAUAAGCAAACUAAGCAAAGCUUAGGAUCCCAAGAAGCUAAAAGGACCUCAGAUGCAUGCGAAAAAUAGGGUAGAACAAAUUGAGCCACGCUCGUGUUGCAAGAGGGCAUCUCCAUGCUGUGCUCGAGGCUCUGCUCUCAAAACAAUGACGAAGUGAAACGCAAGAGCGUGAAAAGUGUCCGCUGUUAUUAAGAGCAGCCACGGCCACUUGCCUCCCAUUUGGUGUGGACCAGGGACAGCCAACGCAGUUGAAAGGCCAUGGGUGGCGCAUGCUGCCAAAUGAUGCGAGGCCCUGGGAGAUCCAGGUGCUGUGUCCCGGAGGACGGGACGCAGGGCAGGGUGGAUCUGCACAUGCGGAGCCCCCAGGGGCAGGUGGAGUCCACGAAGCGCUCCGGUGAGAUGUCCCGGGAAAAGGGCGUGUGGCCCAGCCCUCGGGAGGAGAGCUGGAGAGGCCCUCAGCGAGGGGGAUGACGAUAAGCUGGAUGUCUUCACCUGCCCGCUCUUGGGGCUGCAGUGAAAACAACCGGGCUUUCAGAAGACUCUGGCAGUCCCUAAGAACCAUAUAAAAAAUACAGGGGUCAGGUCUUGUAUGGUAUUUCAAAAAUUCUGUCUCUGUGGUGGUCUUCACAUAAAGAGCCUCGACAUGUCGUUAUAUUUAACUUGCACACGUGCAACACAGCCAGAACUGCCUCUCGUACGAUUACUAAAAACUCAUAUUUGUAAAAAUAUAAAUGGUGGCGGAUUUAAAAUUACUCGUAAGUGGUGGGUGUGAAGUCCCUACAAUCCUUUCCCUCUUGGUCCAUCGGAUUGGCAUAAGACAGGAAUAUAUGGACCUUCUGCCAACACCGUGUAUGAUGCCAUCACACGUCUGUUGUGAUGCAGCAAUGUCACUAUAACCACAUGUAUAGAACACUCUUGGAUGAACCGUCUUACUUUAACUUAUGACGUGGAUCUCAUAAAUAUAAGCGAGGUUUUACUGAUGCAAAUAAAUGUAAGAUAACCCACAGCUGCAGAGCACAUUGUCCCCCAGUGAAUUGUGACUGCCCCUUAAGAAAAGGGCCAGAAGCAGAAAUUGGUAUGCAUAAGGUGUGGUAGAAGUUUGGUCAAACAAGCUGCCAUGUGGUUUUGGCGCAUACAUGUUUAUAUAUAAAUUAAUAAAUCUACUCUUAUCAUCUCGAUGAAGUUUUCCCACUGUAGAAAUACAACACGCAUUUGCAAAAAUGUGCUAAAAAAGCCUACAAUGUUUCCCCCCACCCCCCCCCCCCCCCGUUUUGAUUAUGGCUGUUCUCAUCAUUUACAGAAAGCAUUGGAGUUGAACUUCCCACUCCAUAAUAUAAGUAUAUAUUUUUUGGUUAGAUCGCGUAAAAUAUAAACGUGUCAUUAAACCCACCCCACUGUGGUUGUGCAUCUGUCUCAACGCACAAGAAGAAUUACUGGCGUUUGAGUUUGAUUUAUUUAAGCCCGAUCUACGCUGGCACUUUUACUGCCGUGCUUUAAACGCGUAACGGUUCAGCUAAAGUCGGGAUCGGCUUCGGUGGAUCCCGGCACGUGGCCUCAAUGCCUGACGUGGCCUCAAAGCCCCGUUGCUUAUCUGGAGGAGAGAGACACCGCCCGAAUGGGUCGGCGAUGCCUCUCAUAUAAUUCCUCAUGCUUGUCCUUCUCAUAUUAGUUACGGUGAACGAAGACAUACACAUUUUUAUGAAACACCUGGAAGCAUGUAAUACACCUUAAGAUGUGAUGAAAUGCUACUGAUGAUUUCAUGGUUAAAGAAAUCCAUGUGGAUGUGAUUGUCAACUGUACACAUGUAGAGGGUUGGUAUAUACAGAUGAAGGAAUUUCCAGUUUGAAAAGUCGAUAGGACAUAUACUGUUGGAGAAUCUGGAUAAGUACUUAUUUUAGAAGCACAGUUCUGCUAGAAGCAACAUAUCCUUACAUUGCACUCGUGGAGAUAUGACUUGGGAUUUUUUUUCACAGGCGGGUUCACAAACACACUUAUUGUACUGCAAUAUUUAGCCACUGUGCGACCCAGCUGGCUUGAGAGUUUCACCUGUAAUCCAGCAUCGGAGGCGAGGGUUGAUGGAGCACACAAAUGUCGUGAAGCUCCUUACCGUGGCCGUCGAGUUCGCCAUACCCUGGCUUCCCAGUCGAUGGCAGCAACACAAGCUAAUUCAUCUCCAUCUAUGUCCAUCUAUACGGGGAUAGAGUGUCGCUACCCCGGGCACGCGUGUGUUUUCUAUAACUAUUCCGGACCACAUAGCUCGGGCAAUCAUUGGCACCGGCUCCCCGCCUCGCUACCUUCUCACUUAUCUGUCGUUCCUUGUGCCUCCGAGGUGUUCUCUCUCUUCAAGAGCAAACGAGCACUGUGUGCAUGACAAGUCUAAAUGGCACGGUAUUGUCAUCGUGGCCAUUGCUUUUGAUGCUACCGCACCUCGCCAACGUUUUCUAUCCUCGGCCAGAGCCUGCAGCUGCUCAACAGUAGACACAUAAUCUCCAAAAUCUGCCCUAACAGUAUCCCGCCAUCUCGUCUUAGAUCUUCCCCUUGAGUCGUCAGACCCAUGGACAUCACUCCAAUGCCUGUUAGUCCAUGGGCCCAGACCAUUAAAAUGACUUAUUGUUACUACCUGAGGUGGCAAAGUGUAGUAAUGAUUUUUGUAAUCCUCCAUGUGUGUGGGGCAUAUUCUGAUAUGAUAACCUUUGCGGAGUGGCAGCUUAGUUGUAGUUACCAUGACUUCUAUACCCAUUCCCUAUGACAGGCGUCCGGGACGAUGAAAUGGGCAUUAUUACUGAAAAAUUACCUAGACCAAAGCCAAUUAGGUAAACUGGUCUUUAUUGGUUUAAAUACACAAUGAAAACAGGAUAAUAAGGAAUACGAUAGUGAGGUAAGGAACUACUUGCAUAUUAUAAACAUUGACAUUCGCAUAUACUUAGUCAAUGAUACAUGUUAUCCCAUAUAUUUCGUUAGUGUUGGGUAUAUGUGAAGAAGGUUACAUUAUUGUUAUCAAGCUCUGUGUGUACUUAGAUGGUGUUAAGGGUAACCAAGUCAAGAAACACCACAUUGUGCAUCAAUGUAUACUACUACUACCACAGUAAUACCAUCAGAAUCACCAACCUGUCACUCAUCAAACUGCUCGUUUAUCUCGUCAUCUGACUCCCCGAGGUCAAAGUCAGGUUCUGGAUAUCCUGCAGUUUUUGGUUACUGCAGGUCUGUAACCCUCACAUGUCUGUGCAUGUCAGUCCAUUUGACAGGCUCGUGCAGCUUGGCAUUUUGUAUGAACGCACACACUUGCAUGCUAGCAGUUCCAAGACCACAUCUGGUGCGGGUGGGGAGCGCAUCCAGUAAAUGGCCAGCUUGCCAUCAUCGUCUGUACAUCCAUACUCAGUAGGGCUUGGCACCACAGGGUUAUCCUGCAGACAGCACUUGCAGAUUGCUGCCUGAUAGUUGGCUCGUUGAACAUGCAUGAAGAGACCGUGUCUACAUGGUGGCAGCUGGCUGGACUCGACUUCUCCCCUUUUGGUGCAGAAGAGCUGAUAGCGUAGUUCGUUCACCUCACCAGUGCUGCUAUUAGCAACAUAUAUGCGACAGGUGAACUGCUCAAUUUUCUGGAACAGCUCAUCACUCACAUUCCAUGACUGCCCCAGUCGAAUAAAAGUCUCUUGGCAUCUUCAGGGCAUUCAGCUUCCCUCGACUGGCGAAUGCACUGACAGUGUCGCAGCCUGUGAAAGCGUGUAAGCCAAUUAGGCUGUCACAGAUGCUGCCUCCGAGUGACCUUGCCAGUUUGCUGAUAUUAGUUCUUUAGUUCCAUUUAUUUGGUAUAGCCCUGUGAGCCAUUCGGCUCUUGAAUCGGGUGCAACCGCAACAAACAAAAAACUAAAACAUGAACAAGAAAACAUCUUAAAGUGAUUAUGUGACUGU
Long non-coding RNA from Petromyzon marinus (sea lamprey), 4334 nucleotides. RefSeq lists it as uncharacterized. The record is from RefSeq and is a predicted model, not a curated record. NCBI's taxonomy places the organism in Eukaryota, Metazoa, Chordata, Hyperoartia, Petromyzontiformes, Petromyzontidae.